Molecule: ribosomal RNA, 253 nt
Filed under: uncultured bacterium
Lineage: Bacteria
Description: partial 16S ribosomal RNA
Rfam family: Bacterial small subunit ribosomal RNA
Source: RNAcentral
UACGAUCCGUCCAAACGUUAUUCGGAAUUACUGGGCUUAAAGAGUUCGUAGGCGGUUGGAAAAGUUGGGUGUGAAAGCCCUCGGCUCAACCGAGGAAUUGCGCUCAAAACUGUUCGACUAGAGGGAGAUAGAGGUGAGCAGAACUGAUGGUGGAGCGGUGAAAUGCGUUGAUAUCAUCAGGAAUACCGGAGGCGAAGGCGGCUCACUGGGUCUCUUCUGACGCUGAGGUGCGAAAGCGUGGGGAGCAAACAGG